CUCUUUCAUCCGGGCUCUACUGGUGAAAAUAACUGCAGACGGCUGGUAAAAAGUUGGAAUAGCUUUCGUUAAGCGUCGGAUGUGUAGAGUGCUGAGUUAGGGGCUGGACUAGAGACGUUGGGACAUCUCCCGGGAACAGCAGCCUGGAGGGGAAAAAUCUCCUGACCUAAGUGGUCAUUCGGCCUUGGCGCUUGGACACGGGAGUGCGGCGACAGCCAUAUGUCCAUCCAUCUUGGCACUUUUCCGUCCUCUGCCUUUGAAGAUGGGUGUGCCCGGCAGGCUGUGAAAGAUAAACAUUAGAGGGUUGUUUAGAAGACUUUUUUGACCUGAGCCCAUGAGGUGCAUACCCUUUGUUUGGCGGAGAAACCAGUGGCUUCUGAAGAUCAGGGACGGGCCACAAGUGCGAGGCAUUGCAGACAUUUCGAACCCAGACUUCCAGCCUGGAGACAUCCACACGCUUCCAGUUUCUUGCACUGGUACUUCAUUCUGUCAUUAUGAUUGCCACCACUCGUAACUGAGAGUUGCGUGCCCUCAAGUUUUGAGUGUCUGCAGGGUACCUUUGAGCUUUCUUAGCUGUGUAGUGAGUGGGGGGAAUGGAGAAAAUGAAGGACAGAUGACUGAUUUGUAGUUUUUCAUUUGGACACUGUCCUUGCCGCACAAGCACAGCAGCUUGAACCUCUUUGAACAAGAGUCGAGAGUUCUUUUACAGCUAAUUACCCACUAGUUAAACUUGAUCAUACUGUGCUGUUUUCUUCCUCUCCAUUGUCAAUGUAAUACGGCUCCUGACAAAAGUUAAAUUCGCUGGGCGUGGUGGCUCACCCCUGUACUCCCAGCACUUUGGGGGCUGAGGCGGGUGGAUCACCUGAAGUCAGGAAUUCAAGACCAGCCUGGCCAACAUGGUGAAACCCCGUCUCUACUAAAAAUACAAAAGUUAGCUGCGUGUGGUGGCGGGCGCCUGUAAUCCCAGCUACUCAGGAGGCUGAGGCAGGAGAAUCGUUUGAACCCGGGGGGGCGGAGGUUGCAGUGAGCUGAGAUCGCGCCACUGCACUUCAGCCUGGGUGACAGAGUGAAACUCCGUCUCAAAAAAAAAAAAAAAAGCCGGGCGCUGUGGCUCACACCUAUAAUCCCAGCACUUUGGGAAGCCGAGGGGGGAGGAUCUCGAGGUCAGGAGUUGGAGACCAGCCUGACCAACAUGGAGAAACCUCGUCUCUACUAAAAAUACAAAAUUAGCCAGGCGUGGUGGUGGGCACCUGUAAUCCCAGCUACUGGGGAGGCCGAGGCAGGAGAAUCCUUUGAUCCCGGGAAGCAGAGGUUGCAGUGAGCCGAGAUCACACCAGAGAUGCACGCCAGCCUGGGCAACAGAGCAAGAUUCCUUCUCGAAAAACAAACAAACAAACAAAAAAACAGUUCAAAAGACACAGAAUGGACUGGUGGCGAUGGCCCACGCCUGUAAUCCCAGCACUUUGGGAAGCCAAAGCGGAAGGAUCGCUUGAAGUCAGGAGAACAGCCUGGGCAGCAUAGUGAGACCUCGUUUCUACUUAAAACAAAAACAAACAAACAAACAAAAAAACAACAGGUGUGGUGACUUAGACCUGUGGUCCCAGCUACUCAGGAGGCUGAGAUGGGAGGAUCACUUGGGCCCCAGCCGUUGAGGACUGCAGUGACCUAUGAUCGCACCACUGCUCUCCAUCCUGGGUGACAGAGUGAGACCCUGUCUCAAAAAAAAAAAAAAGCACAGGAUGUAAAAUCAGGCAUUAGGUUUGCUAUUCCUACAUGUAAACUUAUGGAACAUUUUCUUGUUUCCUUUCAUUUUGUUUUACAAAAAGGAUGAUCCCAUUGUUAACUUUUUCUCUUUACCACUUAGUGGAUGCCUUCCACUGUCUCACCACAAUCUUAUCCUUUUAAGCAGUUGCCUAUCAGGUGUCUCCACUGCUCACAUUUGGGACAAAAAUAAUGCAAUGUGCAGUCGCUCACGCCUGUAAUCCCACCACUUUGGGAGGCCAAAGUGAGCAGAUCACCUGAGGUCAGUAGUUUGAGACCAGCCUGGCCAACAUGGUAAAACCCCAUCUCUACUAAAAAUAC
This 2082-nucleotide long non-coding RNA is filed under the name Homo sapiens (human). RNAcentral describes it as "non-protein coding lnc-CCDC125-1:3". The record is from RNAcentral. Lineage: Eukaryota; Metazoa; Chordata; Mammalia; Primates; Hominidae.